RNAcentral lists this long non-coding RNA (946 nucleotides) under Helianthus annuus (common sunflower). RNAcentral describes it as "hypothetical non coding rna". Lineage: Eukaryota; Viridiplantae; Streptophyta; Magnoliopsida; Asterales; Asteraceae. The record is from RNAcentral.
GGUGCUAAACUAAUAGAACCGACAAUUUGCUGUAAUGGGUAUCGUUUUCUAUAUCCAAGUUGAAUUGGUUGAUUUUUCGAUGGAUUUGUUUGUGGCAGUGAUGAUUUAUGCAGGUUGAUGUCUCCUUGGUGGAUUUGGUUGUAGUGGUUUUUGUUUUUUGCAGUUUUCCCAACAACGCCAUUGCUGAUUUGGUCAUCAUCCCUCCAAGUUGUUUAAUUGAUUAGAUCUUCAUCCGGCCAACAAAACUGUUCUUACUUCUUUAUCACAUGCUCACAUCCGUCUACAACUUCAUCGACAAGUUUUCUACAACUGAACUUUUCAAUCAUCUAUUGAAGCUGGUACUUUGUUGGAGAGAGUAGACGCGUUUGAUGUGAAUGGGAACUCGGGUUUGAUUUCUAAUUUGUGGACGGAUCAGAAGGCCGGUGUUUCAUUUGCACAUCUUUAUGGUUACAAAUGGGGAGCGACUUGAAGAGAUCAGUUGAUGUGUAUGUAUUUCGAAAUGGGGAGUGAUUUGAAGACCUGGGUAUUAGAUAAGUUGAUGCCCGUCUUGGGAUAUUCGCAACCCGCCUUGGUUCAACAUGUGUUUACUUUAUCUAAGAAAGCUUCAUCUCCUGAUGAUGUAUAUAAUAAUCUUAAAGACAUGGGGGGUGUCAUCUUCUAACAACACACGCAUUUGGUGAAGAAAUAUUCCAGAAGGUUGAAUAUAAGAGAUCUGAAUCAAAUUUGUUACAGUGAUUGACUUCCUGACAAAGAACCGGAGGAGUUAUAGCAUCAUCUAAAGAAAAAAAAAAGAUGCCGCCAGGAUGAUAAAAGUCUACUUUUAGUGAUCAUCGUUUAAUCAAUCUAAUUUUAAUAUGAAUUGAUUUUUGGUUUUUCAAGAAUUUAUGAAUUGAUUCCAAUUAUGAUUCCCUAAUCCUAUUUAAUAUGAAUUUAAUGUUUGGUUAUU